AGUGAACGCUGGCGGUAGGCCUAACACAUGCAAGUCGAACGGCAGCACAGUAAGAGCUUGCUCUUACGGGUGGCGAGUGGCGGACGGGUGAGGAAUACAUCGGAAUCUACUUUUUCGUGGGGGAUAACGUAGGGAAACUUACGCUAAUACCGCAUACGACCUACGGGUGAAAGCAGUGGAUCUUCGGACCUUUCGCGAUUGAAUGAGCCGAUGUCGGAUUAGCUAGUUGGCGGGGUAAAGGCCCACCAAGGCGACGAUCCGUAGCUGGUCUGAGAGGAUGAUCAGCCACACUGGAACUGAGACACGGUCCAGACUCCUACGGGAGGCAGCAGUGGGGAAUAUUGGACAAUGGGCGCAAGCCUGAUCCAGCCAUACCGCGUGGGUGAAGAGGGCCUUCGGGUUGUAAAGCCCUUUUGUUGGGAAAGAAAAGCAGCAGGUUAAUACCCCGCUGUUCUGACGGUACCCAAAGAAUAAGCACCGGCUAACUUCGUG
Molecule: ribosomal RNA, 492 nt
Filed under: uncultured bacterium
Lineage: Bacteria
Description: partial 16S ribosomal RNA
Rfam family: Bacterial small subunit ribosomal RNA
Source: RNAcentral